GACGAACGCUGGCGGCGUGCCUAACACAUGCAAGUCAACUUGACUGAAGGAGCAAUCUGACAGUAGAGUGGCGCAAGGGUGCGUAACGCGUAAGUAACUUGCCCCAAGGUAAGGAAUAACGUCGAGAAAUCGGCGCUAAUACCUCAUAAUGCAGCGGAUCCGCAUGGAUAUGUUGUUAAAGGUUUACCGCCUUGGGAUAGGCUUGCGUCUGAUUAGCUAGUUGGUGUGGUAACGGCACACCAAGGCUACGAUCAGUAACUGGUCUGAGAGGAUGAUCAGUCACACUGGAACUGAGACACGGUCCAGACUCCUACGGGAGGCAGCAGUGAGGAAUAUUGGGCAAUGCUCGAAAGAGUGACCCAGCAACGCCGCGUGGAGGAUGAAGGUAUUCUAUAUCGUAAACUCCUGUGAGAGCAGACGAAAGACAGAUUAUUAAUCUGGAUGACUGUAUGCUCAGAGGAAGCCCCGGCUAAAC
This 475-nucleotide ribosomal RNA is filed under the name uncultured bacterium. RNAcentral describes it as "bacterial SSU rRNA". It matches the Rfam family "Bacterial small subunit ribosomal RNA", at positions 28 to 502 of the family's 1533-position model. The record is from RNAcentral.